UACGGAGGGUGCAAGCGUUAUCCGGAUUCACUGGGUUUAAAGGGUGCGUAGGCGGAUCGCUAAGUCAGGGGUGAAAUCCUGGAGCUCAACUCCAGAACUGCCUUUGAUACUGGCAAUCUCGAGUCCGGGAGAGGUGAGUGGAACUGCGAGUGUAGAGGUGAAAUUCGUAGAUAUUCGCAAGAACACCAGUGGCGAAGGCGGCUCACUGGCCCGGUACUGACGCUGAGGUGCGAAAGCGUGGGGAGCAAACAGG
RNAcentral lists this ribosomal RNA (253 nucleotides) under uncultured bacterium. Its description in RNAcentral is "partial 16S ribosomal RNA". It matches the Rfam family "Bacterial small subunit ribosomal RNA", at positions 524 to 776 of the family's 1533-position model. The record is from RNAcentral.